CGAGAACUGUUUUGUGAACUGACGGAGACAGAAUUCUGUUUGGAGUUGGUUAAGAGAUAAGUGGAAAUCAUUAAAAUGAAGACACAAAAGAAGUUUUCAUUUUCCAGUGACUCAUUAUUCAAGCCAAGAGAAGAUGGUACAGAUGAGGAGAAAAGUUCCAUCCCCAUAAGAACCAUGCAAGUUUGCUAGACAUCAGUGUCAGAGACCAGAUCUUCCAGCCUGACCUCCUAUUGCUCCUCUAUGGGUUACUGGUCUAAAGGACACUGGGUGAGAUAGUGCGGAUUUCUCCAAACCCACCUCCACUAGCCCAAAAAUGUGUACGCAAAGGAUGGAGAUGAAGAUGAAAACUGCAAAGAGAGCCAGGUAGUUAGAGAGAAGCUUAACAGAUGUGGGAAGCAGAUAAAGGAGUGAAAGACUAACAACAAAAUGCCAGAAGGAGCUCUUCUUAUCAGAAGGGCCAUAUAUUUCUAGUUCACAUGUUGAAAACACUCUUUAUCCUAUUACAUCAAUUCAUAAAAACGGAAAUAAAGCUCCACUUUAAAAGAC
Equus asinus (donkey) is the source of this 546-nucleotide long non-coding RNA. The record is from Ensembl. NCBI's taxonomy places the organism in Eukaryota, Metazoa, Chordata, Mammalia, Perissodactyla, Equidae.